CACGUAGGGUGCGAGCGUUGUCCGGAAUUAUUGGGCGUAAAGAGCUCGUAGGCGGUGUGUCGCGUCGGCCGUGAAAACCUGCAGCUUAACUGUGGGCUUGCGGUCGAUACGGGCAUCACUGGAGUUCGGCAGGGGAGACUGGAAUUCCUGGUGUAGCGGUGAAAUGCGUAGAUAUCUGGAGGAACACCGGUGGCGAAGGCGGCAUCCUGGACCGACACUGACGCUGAGGCGCGAAAGCGUGGGGAGCAAACAGG
RNAcentral lists this ribosomal RNA (254 nucleotides) under uncultured bacterium. Its description in RNAcentral is "partial 16S ribosomal RNA". It matches the Rfam family "Bacterial small subunit ribosomal RNA", at positions 524 to 776 of the family's 1533-position model. The record is from RNAcentral.